RNAcentral lists this ribosomal RNA (433 nucleotides) under uncultured bacterium. RNAcentral describes it as "partial 16S ribosomal RNA". It matches the Rfam family "Bacterial small subunit ribosomal RNA", at positions 29 to 507 of the family's 1533-position model. The record is from RNAcentral.
AACGAACGCUGGCGGCAUGCCUAACACAUGCAAGUCGAACGAGACCUUCGGGUCUAGUGGCGCACGGGUGCGUAACGCGUGGGAACCUGCCCUUAGGUUCGGAAUAACUCCCCGAAAGGGGUGCUAAUACCGGAUAAUGUCUUCGGACCAAAGAUUUAUCGCCUUUGGAUGGGCCCGCGUUGGAUUAGCUAGUUGGUAGGGUAAAAGCCUACCAAGGCGACGAUCCAUAGCUGGUCUGAGAGGAUGAUCAGCCACACUGGGACUGAGACACGGCCCAGACUCCUACGGGAGGCAGCAGUGGGGAAUAUUGGACAAUGGGCGAAAGCCUGAUCCAGCAAUGCCGCGCGAGUGAUGAAGGCCUUAGGGUUGUAAAGCUCUUUUACCCGGGAUGAUAAUGACAGUACCGGGAGAAUAAGCUCCGGCUAACCCCGUG